GUGGGGAAUCUUCCGCAAUGGACGAAAGUCUGACGGAGCGACGCCGCGUGAGUGAAGAAGGCCUUCGGGUCGUAAAGCUCUGUCAUCAGGGACGAACGGCCGGUGGAGUGGAAAGCCACCGGAUUGACGGUACCCGAGAAGGAAGCCACGGCUAACUACGUGCCAGCAGCCGCGGUAAUACGUAGGUGGCAAGCGUUGUCCGGAAUUAUUGGGCGUAAAGCGCGCGCAGGUGGGAUCUUAAGUCCAUUUUGAAAGUUCGGAGCUCAACUCCGUGAUGGGAUGGAAACUGGGAUUCUGGAGGACCGGGGAGGAAAGCGGAAUUCCCCGUGUAGCGGUGAAAUGCGUAGAUAUGGGGAGGAACACCAGUGGCGAAGGCGGCUUUCUGGACGGUGUCUGACACUGAGGCGCGAAAGCUAGGGGAGCGAACGGGAUUAGAUACCCGGGUAGUCC
RNAcentral lists this ribosomal RNA (450 nucleotides) under uncultured bacterium. RNAcentral describes it as "partial 16S ribosomal RNA". It matches the Rfam family "Bacterial small subunit ribosomal RNA", at positions 354 to 796 of the family's 1533-position model. The record is from RNAcentral.